Peromyscus maniculatus bairdii (prairie deer mouse) is the source of this 598-nucleotide non-coding RNA. The record is from RefSeq and is a predicted model, not a curated record. NCBI's taxonomy places the organism in Eukaryota, Metazoa, Chordata, Mammalia, Rodentia, Cricetidae.
UCCUUAUGCCCAACUGUGGUGACGCCCAACCAUAAAAUUAUGUUUGUUGUUACUUCAUAACUAUUAUUUGGCCACUGUUAGGAAUUGUUCUGUAAACAUCUGUGCUUCCCAAUGGUUUCUAGUGAGUCCGGUGAAGGGGUCUCGGCCCACGGCUUGAGAACCACUGUUGUAGCUGGUGGUCAUCACUCUGCUGAUUCUUUCCUCUGCUGUGAAGAGGCUUUGUGGUUUGGUAGACUCUCACCUGUCUGCUUUUGCUUUUUGUCCUGUGCCUUUAGGGACACAAUGAAGAACAACCUCUUUGUCAGCACCCAUGCCACAGUGGGUUGUCUUCUAGGGGAUCAUUAGUGUAGAUCAUGCAUAUUUUGGAGCCAGUGGAGAGAUGGGACAGAGAAGAUGGACAGAUGGGGAUUAAAAAGAAAGUUGGCAUUAUGAUUGAUGAAACUGAUGAGAAAACAUGGCUUUGAAUGUGGGCCAAGCAGUCUUAGUAACUCUUCAUCUGAACUAGAAAGCUUUGAACCAGCUGUCCAGGGGCUAGCCAAAUAACCACAAGUGGCUGCAGCCCAAGUCCAGUUCCUAUUCUCCAUGUUCUUUUUAAGAG